UACGGAGGGAGCUAGCGUUGUUCGGAAUUACUGGGCGUAAAGCGCACGUAGGCGGCUUCUUAAGUCAGGGGUGAAAUCCUGGAGCUCAACUCCAGAACUGCCUUUGAUACUGAGGAGCUUGAGUCCGGGAGAGGUGAGUGGAACUCCGAGUGUAGAGGUGAAAUUCGUAGAUAUUCGGAAGAACACCAGUGGCGAAGGCGGCUCACUGGCCCGGUACUGACGCUGAGGCACGAAAGCGUGGGGAGCAAACAGG
Molecule: ribosomal RNA, 253 nt
Filed under: uncultured bacterium
Lineage: Bacteria
Description: partial 16S ribosomal RNA
Rfam family: Bacterial small subunit ribosomal RNA
Source: RNAcentral